This 372-nucleotide ribosomal RNA is filed under the name Escherichia coli. RNAcentral's name for it is "partial 23S ribosomal RNA". It matches the Rfam family "Bacterial large subunit ribosomal RNA", at positions 2577 to 2925 of the family's 2925-position model. RNAcentral also lists the same sequence under 1 other name. Lineage: Bacteria; Pseudomonadati; Pseudomonadota; Gammaproteobacteria; Enterobacterales; Enterobacteriaceae. The record is from RNAcentral.
CUGUUCGCCAUUUAAAGUGGUACGCGAGCUGGGUUUAGAACGUCGUGAGACAGUUCGGUCCCUAUCUGCCGUGGGCGCUGGAGAACUGAGGGGGGCUGCUCCUAGUACGAGAGGACCGGAGUGGACGCAUCACUGGUGUUCGGGUUGUCAUGCCAAUGGCACUGCCCGGUAGCUAAAUGCGGAAGAGAUAAGUGCUGAAAGCAUCUAAGCACGAAACUUGCCCCGAGAUGAGUUCUCCCUGACUCCUUGAGAGUCCUGAAGGAACGUUGAAGACGACGACGUUGAUAGGCCGGGUGUGUAAGCGCAGCGAUGCGUUGAGCUAACCGGUACUAAUGAACCGUGAGGCUUAACCUUACAACGCCGAAGGUGUUU